Molecule: small nuclear RNA, 307 nt
Filed under: Aotus nancymaae (Ma's night monkey)
Lineage: Eukaryota; Metazoa; Chordata; Mammalia; Primates; Aotidae
Description: 7SK RNA (ENSANAG00000009470.1)
Rfam family: 7SK RNA
About the family: 7SK was discovered as an abundant small nuclear RNA in the mid-70s but a possible function has only recently been suggested. Two independent studies have found that 7SK RNA binds the CDK9/cyclin T complex (known as elongation factor P-TEFb).
Source: Rfam by way of RNAcentral
GGAUGUGAGGGCGAUCUGGCUGCAACAUCUGUCACACCAUUGAUUACCAGGGUUGAUUUGGCUGAUCUGACUGGCUAGGCAGAUAUCCCCUUCCUCCCUCAUCACUCCAUGUGCGUCCCUCCCAAAGCUGUGCACUCAGUCGAAACGGAUGACCAUCAUCAAUAGAGGAGGACCAGUCUUCCGUCAAGGGUAUACCAGUAGCUACACUUCCAUGCUAGAACAUCCAAACAAGCUCUUAAAAAAAAUCAAUAAAUAAAGGAUGAUAUGGUAUCACUGUUUGCUCACAUGCUCUUCCAGUUUGGGCUGA